Molecule: ribosomal RNA, 434 nt
Filed under: uncultured Blautia sp.
Lineage: Bacteria; Bacillati; Bacillota; Clostridia; Lachnospirales; Lachnospiraceae
Description: bacterial SSU rRNA
Rfam family: Bacterial small subunit ribosomal RNA
Source: RNAcentral
ACGGGAGGCAGCAGUGGGGAAUAUUGCACAAUGGGGGAAACCCUGAUGCAGCGACGCCGCGUGAAGGAAGAAGUAUUUCGGUAUGUAAACUUCUAUCGGCAGGGAAGAAAAUGACGGUACCUGACUAAGAAGCCCCGGCUAACUACGUGCCAGCAGCCGCGGUAAUACGUAGGGGGCAAGCGUUAUCCGGAUUUACUGGGUGUAAAGGGAGCGUAGACGGAGCGGCAAGUCUGGAGUGAAAACCCAGGGCUUAACCCUGGAACUGCUUUGGAAACUGCCGUUCUUGAGUGCCGGAGGGGUAAGCGGAAUUCCUAGUGUAGCGGUGAAAUGCGUAGAUAUUAGGAGGAACACCAGUGGCGAAGGCGGCUUACUGGACGGCAACUGACGUUGAGGCUCGAAAGCGUGGGGAGCGAACAGGAUUAGAUACCCUGGUA